Long non-coding RNA from Melanotaenia boesemani (Boeseman's rainbowfish), 192 nucleotides. RefSeq lists it as uncharacterized. The record is from RefSeq and is a predicted model, not a curated record. The transcript has 3 exons. NCBI's taxonomy places the organism in Eukaryota, Metazoa, Chordata, Actinopteri, Atheriniformes, Melanotaeniidae.
GUCCAAGCCAUCUCUGAAUCUAUGCUCAAAUCCAAACCCUCUACCUGUCAGCUCGAUCCAAUCCCUACAGCUCUUGUCAAAACCUGCCUCUCCCCACUUGCUCCCCUCAUCACCAACAUCAUUCACUCCUCCCUAAUCUCUGGAACCGUCCCUCUUGCACUUAAAACCGCUACAGUAAAGAAUGACCUUCUC